GGACGCUAGCUACAGGCUUAACACAUGCAAGUCGAGGGGCAGCAUGGUCUUAGCUUGCUAAGGCCGAUGGCGACCGGCGCACGGGUGAGUAACACGUAUCCAACCUGCCGUCUACUCUUGGACAGCCUUCUGAAAGGAAGAUUAAUACAAGAUGGCAUCAUGAGUCCGCAUGUUCACAUGAUUAAAGGUAUUCCGGUAGACGAUGGGGAUGCGUUCCAUUAGAUAGUAGGCGGGGUAACGGCCCACCUAGUCUUCGAUGGAUAGGGGUUCUGAGAGGAAGGUCCCCCACAUUGGAACUGAGACACGGUCCAAACUCCUACGGGAGGCAGCAGUGAGGAAUAUUGGUCAAUGGGCGAGAGCCUGAACCAGCCAAGUAGCGUGAAGGAUGACUGCCCUAUGGGUUGUAAACUUCUUUUAUAAAGGAAUAAAGUCGGGUAUGGAUACCCGUUUGCAUGUACUUUAUGAAUAAGGAUCGGCUAACUCCGUGCCAGCAGCCGCGGUAAUACGGAGGAUCCGAGCGUUAUCCGGAUUUAUUGGGUUUAAAGGGAGCGUAGAUGGAUGUUUAAGUCAGUUGUGAAAGCUUGCGGCUCAACCGUAAAAUUGCAGUUGAUACUGGAUAUCUUGAGUGCAGUUGAGGCAGGCGGAAUUCGUGGUGUAGCGGUGAAAUGCUUAGAUAUCACGAAGAACUCCGAUUGCGAAGGCAGCCUGCUAAGCUGCAACUGACAUUGAGGCUCGAAAGUGUGGGUAUCAAACAGGAUUAGAUACCCUGGUAGUCCACACGGUAAACGAUGAAUACUCGCUGUUUGCGAUAUACAGCAAGCGGCCAAGCGAAAGCGUUAAGUAUUCCACCUGGGGAAUACGCCGGCAACGGUGAAACUCAAAGGAAUUGACGGGGGCCCGCACAAGCGGAGGAACAUGUGGUUUAAUUCGAUGAUACGCGAGGAACCUUACCCGGGCUUAAAUUGCAGAUGAAUUACGGUGAAAGCCGUAAGCCGCAAGGCAUCUGUGAAGGUGCUGCAUGGUUGUCGUCAGCUCGUGCCGUGAGGUGUCGGCUUAAGUGCCAUAACGAGCGCAACCCUUGUUGUCAGUUACUAACAGGUCAUGCUGAGGACUCUGACAAGACUGCCAUCGUAAGAUGUGAGGAAGGUGGGGAUGACGUCAAAUCAGCACGGCCCUUACGUCCGGGGCUACACACGUGUUACAAUGGGGGGUACAGAGGGCCGCUACCACGCGAGUGGAUGCCAAUCCCAAAAACCUCUCUCAGUUCGGACUGGAGUCUGCAACCCGACUCCACGAAGCUGGAUUCGCUAGUAAUCGCGCAUCAGCCACGGCGCGGUGAAUACGUUCCCGGGCCUUGUACACACCGCCCGUCAAGCCAUGGGAGCCGGGGGUACCUGAAGUGCGUAACCGCGAGGAGCGCCCUAGGGUAAAACUGGUGACUGGGGCUAAG
Molecule: ribosomal RNA, 1450 nt
Filed under: uncultured organism
Description: SSU rRNA
Rfam family: Bacterial small subunit ribosomal RNA
Source: RNAcentral